Long non-coding RNA from Saccostrea cuccullata (small rock oyster), 606 nucleotides. RefSeq lists it as uncharacterized. NCBI's taxonomy places the organism in Eukaryota, Metazoa, Mollusca, Bivalvia, Ostreida, Ostreidae. The record is from RefSeq and is a predicted model, not a curated record. The transcript is spliced from 2 exons.
GCUUACAUCACAGAAUGAGUGGAGCUAAAUCUCAUUUUCAUUUGUUGGUGUUCAACAGUGACGGGCCUGAGGUUUCAUCACAAAAGACAGUACAAAAUACAUGGUCGAGAGCAAGCCAUAAGGAGUGUGACCCUAGUUGACCCCUGAAGAAUCUCUUGUUUGGGAUGAUAUGUGGUGAAGAACAGCCUCGUAUAUAACAGAGUUGUCAGCUGACCGCCCAUGGAGUGGGUUCAAAUGUCUCGUACCCCGAGAAUUUGUGCGAGACGAGCUGUAACAACGGGGUACAACCCCUGAAGCUUCUGGCAACCUGUAAUUAUUUUUCGUCAACUUUGUUGUAAGGAAUGACAAUAAAAAAUGAAAGAAUGUUUCAUGAAAGAAAAACAGUGUCUGUUUUUGACGUUCAUUAAGAUUUGGUGGAUAGAUUCAUUCAUCUUGAGUUCUUUACUUUCACUUUUACGCUAGCUAAUAUCAGUAUCUUAUUAGGUCGACCUGCAACCUGCUUCAAGGCGGAAAUUCAAUUUAACGGGUGACCAAUGUUUGGAGUUCUCUACUUUUAUGUGCAUUUUUUAUGAAACCUCAAAGUGUUUAUAAAUUGUUAAAAACGUU